Molecule: ribosomal RNA, 636 nt
Filed under: uncultured bacterium
Lineage: Bacteria
Description: bacterial SSU rRNA
Rfam family: Bacterial small subunit ribosomal RNA
Source: RNAcentral
CGGCCUAUCAGCUUGUUGGUGGGGUAACGGCCCACCAAGGCUUGGACGGGUAGCUGGUCUGAGAGGACGAUCAGCCACACUGGGACUGAGGCACGGCCCAGACUCCUACGGGAGGCAGCAGUAAGGAAUAUUGCGCAAUGGGCGAAAGCCUGACGCAGCAACGCCGCGUGCGGGAUGAAGGCCCUCGGGUUGUAAACCGCUUUCAGUAGGGAAGAAAAUGACGGUACCUACAGAAGAAGCCCCGGCCAACUACGUGCCAGCAGCCGCGGUAACACGUAGGGGGCAAGCGUUGUCCGGAUUUAUUGGGCGUAAAGAGCUCGUAGGCGGUUUCGUAAGUCGGAUGUGAAAACUCCAGGCUCAACUUGGAGACGCCAUUCGAUACUGCGAUGACUUGAGUCCGGUAGGGGAGUGUGGAAUUCCUGGUGUAGCAGUGAAAUGCGUAGAGAUCAUGAGGAAGACCAGUGGCGAAGGCGGGUCUCUGGACAGUUCCUGACACUGAGGCACGAAGGCUAGGGGAGCGAACGGGAUUAGAUACCCCGGUAGUCCUAGCAGUAAACGGUGCACGUUUGGUGUGAGAGGAUUCGACCCCUUUCGCGCCGGAGCUAACGCGUUAAACGCCCCGCCUGGGGAGUACGG